This 218-nucleotide ribosomal RNA is filed under the name uncultured Lachnospiraceae bacterium. Its description in RNAcentral is "partial 16S ribosomal RNA". It matches the Rfam family "Bacterial small subunit ribosomal RNA", at positions 293 to 528 of the family's 1533-position model. Lineage: Bacteria; Bacillati; Bacillota; Clostridia; Lachnospirales; Lachnospiraceae. The record is from RNAcentral.
UGAGAGGUUGAACGGCCACAUUGGGACUGAGACACGGCCCAGACUCCUACGGGAGGCAGCAGUGGGGAAUAUUGCACAAUGGGGGAAACCCUGAUGCAGCGACGCCGCGUGGAGGAAGAAGGUCUUCGGAUUGUAAACUCCUGUUGUUGAGGAAGAUAAUGACGGUGCUCAACAAGGAAGUGACGGCUAACUACGUGCCAGCAGCCGCGGUAAAACGU